This 274-nucleotide ribosomal RNA is filed under the name uncultured bacterium. Its description in RNAcentral is "partial 16S ribosomal RNA". It matches the Rfam family "Bacterial small subunit ribosomal RNA", at positions 523 to 796 of the family's 1533-position model. The record is from RNAcentral.
AUACGGAGGGAGCAAGCGUUAUUCGGAAUCACUGGGCGUAAAGGACGCGUAGGCGGGUUUGUAAGUCAGGUGUGGAAUCCUACAGCUCAACUGUAGAACUGCACUUGAAACUACAGACCUAGAGUAUGGAAGGGGCAGAUGGAAUUAGUGGUGUAGGGGUAAAAUCCGUAGAUAUCACUAGGAAUACCGAAAGCGAAGGCGAUCUGCUGGGACAUUACUGACGCUGAGGCGUGAAAGCGUGGGGAGCAAACAGGAUUAGAAACCCCAGUAGUCC